RNAcentral lists this ribosomal RNA (253 nucleotides) under uncultured bacterium. RNAcentral describes it as "partial 16S ribosomal RNA". It matches the Rfam family "Bacterial small subunit ribosomal RNA", at positions 524 to 776 of the family's 1533-position model. The record is from RNAcentral.
UACGGAGGGAGCGAGCGUUGUUCGGAAUUACUGGGCGUAAAGCGUAUGUAGGCGGUUUUGUAAGACAGAUGUGAAAUCCCAGGGCUUAACCUUGGAACUGCAUUUGUGACUGCAUGACUCGAGUAUCGGAGAGGUUGGCGGAAUUCCUAGUGUAGCAGUGAAAUGCGCAGAUAUUAGGAGGAACACCGAUGGCGUAAGCAGCCAACUGGACGAUUUCUGACGCUGAGAUACGAAAGUAUGGGGAGCAAACAGG